Molecule: non-coding RNA, 313 nt
Organism: Pelobates cultripes (western spadefoot toad)
Lineage: Eukaryota; Metazoa; Chordata; Amphibia; Anura; Pelobatidae
Source: the annotation of a GenBank genome assembly
GUAAUUUUGAUCCUGCAUUAGUUUUUUUUACUAGCUGUUCACUGAAAUGAAGCCAAAAAUUGAGAAUUUCCUAAUCUCUGUCCAAGCAUUGAGUGUCCUCCAAUGUGUCCAAUUGUACUUGUUGUUCUGUAAGCAGAGUGUUAGUCUCAAACUACAGCUGUUGUUAAACAUGCAACUUUGUCCCAAGAAGGGGGAAGAUCACCUGCUACAGCAUGUUACAUAGAAACAUAGAAACAUAGAAUGUGACGGCAGAUAAGAACCAUUCGGCCCAUCUAGUCUGCCCAAUUUUCUAAAUACUUUCAUUAGUCCCUAG